Molecule: ribosomal RNA, 253 nt
Filed under: uncultured bacterium
Lineage: Bacteria
Description: partial 16S ribosomal RNA
Rfam family: Bacterial small subunit ribosomal RNA
Source: RNAcentral
UACGUAGGGGGCAAGCGUUAAUCGGAAUUACUGGGCGUAAAGCGUGCGCAGGCGGCUUUGCAAGACAGAUGUGAAAUCCCCGGGCUUAACCUGGGAACUGCAUUUGUGACUGCAAGGCUGGAGUGCGGCAGAGGGGGAUGGAAUUCCGCGUGUAGCAGUGAAAUGCGUAGAUAUGCGGAGGAACACCGAUGGCGAAGGCAAUCCCCUGGGCCUGCACUGACGCUCAUGCACGAAAGCGUGGGGAGCAAACAGG